RNAcentral lists this ribosomal RNA (887 nucleotides) under Rinodina pityrea. Its description in RNAcentral is "SSU rRNA". It matches the Rfam family "Bacterial small subunit ribosomal RNA", at positions 370 to 1298 of the family's 1533-position model. Lineage: Eukaryota; Fungi; Ascomycota; Lecanoromycetes; Caliciales; Physciaceae. The record is from RNAcentral.
AAUAGCCUAACGGCUGAACCAGCAACUUGGAGGAAUGUAUAGCGAAAGCUAGCUGCAUUUAACUUAGCGAAAGCUAGAGUUGGUGUAGUAUUGACUGUAUCAAAUAAAGUUCUAGGUGGGUUAUGAUGAUGACAUUUCCCAUCUAUGUGUCUUGACCAAAUUACGUGCCAGCAGUCGCGGUAACACGUAAAAGACUAGUGUUAUUCAUCUUUAAUAGGUUUAAAGCGUACCUAGACGGUAAAUCAAGUCCGACAAGGAUACUAAUCUACUAGAGUUUAAUGUGAGGGGGCACUAAGGUACUGAUAAGUGUAGAGAUGAAAUUCUGUGAUACAAUAUACGGCACAGGUAAACGCGAAAGCAUCUCAUUAUGUAAUAACUGACGUUGAGGGACGAAGGCUAUGUGUAGCAAAAAGGAUUAGAUACCCAAGUAGUCUUAGCAGAAAAUUAUGAAUGUCAUAGGAUGGAAACAACAAAUUUUUUUUUCUAUAAAUGAAAGUGUAAGCAUUCCACCUCGAGAGUAAUUUGGCAACAUUGGAACUGAAAUCAUUAGACCGUUUCUGAAACAAGUAGUGAAGUAUGUUGUUUAAUUUGAUGGUCCGCAAAAAACCUUACCACAAUUUGAAUAGAAAAAUUAUUUUUCAUACAAGCGCUGCACGGUUGUCUUCAGUUAAUGUCGUGAGAUCUUGGUUAGUUCCAUUAAAUUAACGUAAACCCUUACUUUAUUUUUACAUAGAGUAGUUCUCCGCUAUAUUGGAUAAGAUAACAGGGACUAAGACAAGUCAUCAUGGCCUUAAUAUUGUGGGCUAUAGACGUGCCACAUAUGCCUUACAAAGGGAUGCGAAAUUGCGAAAUUGAGCUAAUCCCCUAAAAUUGGAUAUAAACUUAAU